RNAcentral lists this ribosomal RNA (453 nucleotides) under uncultured bacterium. RNAcentral's name for it is "partial 16S ribosomal RNA". It matches the Rfam family "Bacterial small subunit ribosomal RNA", at positions 29 to 523 of the family's 1533-position model. The record is from RNAcentral.
AGCGAACGCUGGCGGCAGGCUUAACACAUGCAAGUCGAGCGGGCAUCCUCGUGGUGUCAGCGGCAGACGGGUGAGUAACGCGUGGGAACGUGCCCUUCGGUUCGGAAUAACUCAGGGAAACUUGAGCUAAUACCGGAUACGCCCUUUUGGGGAAAGGCUUGACUGCCGAAGGAUCGGCCCGCGUCUGAUUAGCUAGUUGGUGAGGUUACGGCUCACCAAGGCGACGAUCAGUAGCUGGUCUGAGAGGAUGAUCAGCCACACUGGGACUGAGACACGGCCCAGACUCCUACGGGAGGCAGCAGUGGGGAAUAUUGGACAAUGGGGGCAACCCUGAUCCAGCCAUGCCGCGUGAGUGAUGACGGCCUUAGGGUUGUAAAGCUCUUUUCUCCGGGACGAUGAUGACGGUACCGGAGGAAUAAGCCCCGGCUAACUUCGUGCCAGCAGCCGCCGUAA